CCUUUGACGUUAGCGGCGGACGGGUGAGUAACACGUGGGUAACCUACCUAUAAGACUGGGAUAACUUCGGGAAACCGGAGCUAAUACCGGAUAAUAUUUCGAACCGCAUGGUUCGAUAGUGAAAGAUGGUUUUGCCAUCACUUAUAGAUGGACCCGCGCCGUAUUAGCUAGUUGGUAAGGUAACGGCUUACCAAGGCGACGAUACGUAGCCGACCUGAGAGGGUGAUCGGCCACACUGGAACUGAGACACGGUCCAGACUCCUACGGGAGGCAGCAGGG
RNAcentral lists this ribosomal RNA (279 nucleotides) under uncultured Staphylococcus sp. Its description in RNAcentral is "partial 16S ribosomal RNA". It matches the Rfam family "Bacterial small subunit ribosomal RNA", at positions 83 to 354 of the family's 1533-position model. Lineage: Bacteria; Bacillati; Bacillota; Bacilli; Caryophanales; Staphylococcaceae. The record is from RNAcentral.